Molecule: long non-coding RNA, 1962 nt
Organism: Pezoporus flaviventris
Lineage: Eukaryota; Metazoa; Chordata; Aves; Psittaciformes; Psittacidae
Exons: 4
Source: RefSeq, a predicted model, not a curated record
AUGAUUUAAUCCAGUUUCUAGGGAAAUGUCCCUAAUGUCUCUCUGCAGGAUGUCAGAUGCACUAGUUGUGGCAGUUGCUUCUGCCUGCAGAGUCCAUGUAGGUUGGUGUGAAACAGCUCUAAGUAACUUGAAGAAAAUUAAGAAUAUUUAGGAUGAAUAUCAGUAAUGUUUCUGUCAGAGAAAUGCAAGCUUGGUUUCUGAGACGUUUAAACAUUACCUGAUAAGAAAACCCCAAACAACACAACUAUUAAUUAUCUGAACUAGCAAUCUGGAAUAUAUUAAGUCCAGGCACUUUUAUUAUCACUUCAUAAAUAUUCCUGUUUUCUCACCUCAGAUUCUUGUAAGGAAAGAGCAGCUCAUGAAAAUAUAUCUCUGAAAGAGCUCAAUAGUGUCAUUGCAUGGGCGAGCAGGUUUUUUUAAAGCUCAGUUGUAACUUUGAGUAAAGGAGAUGGAAAAUGUGGGAGUGGAAGAGGCGGCACUUGGCCAUGCUGUGGUUCCCAGGGCAGCAGCCAGGAGAACCCCUGGGCAGGGAAGGGAGCCGUGAGAGGGUGAAGAGGCUGAGGGACAUCCCAGCUUGAUUUCAUUUGGUUAUUUUAUUUGUACGCUAGAUUCAAAAUUGUUGUCUUUGAAGAUAACAGCAGUACAGCUGGGUCACUUCUAAAUCUCAGGAGCUGUAGGAUAAGGACAACCCAAAUACAAAGAAAUAGUAAAACUGGGUGUUUGGACAGCAGUCACUGCAAAUGGUUGCAAGUUUAUUCAUAGAUCAGAUUGUUGGUUCUGCUGCUUGCAGAAUUCCCUCACAGCUGGUGAAUGGUGCUACAAAUCCACCUCUGCUCUGAAAAACUCCUUUUAGGCUGGAAUCUGCAAACACAUAUGCUCAACUUAAAAUCUGUGAAAUCAGCUGCAUCUCACUGUAGCUGCUUGUAAAUUUAGAGGAAUAAAAUGCUUGGGGAAAGGAAAUGUAAAGUGCUGGAUUAAGAACUUCAGUGCUGCGUUUUGGGUGUUUGUGAUAUGCACAACAUAUAUCAACAGCUAUUAAAAUAAGUUUCAGGAAAGAAUUCUAGAGAUUGAUUGUUUCUUCAAAAAUUACUCCAAAAAUCAAUCAGAACUGUCUUAGAAAUAUGCCUACUAUGCACCAAGAUCUAGUUUUCCUUUUUUUUAACAAAAUUUAUCAAUCCAUUAAGAGGAGACAAGUAAACAAAAAUGAAUUGUCAUUUGUGUUAUUUUAUUAGUGUCACAUGAGAUUACAGCAUAUUAUUGAUUUGAGAAUAUUUUACCCAAGGAGACUUGUUUUAACAUGAACAAGUCAGGAUCAAUACCGGAUAUGCAUUCAUUUUCAUAAAAAGCUACAAGGCAAUAUUUUUUUUACAAAUCCCAUGACUAUACUUAUAGCUCUGUAAAAAAAAUAUCAUUGUGACCAAAUGAGGACCUAGCUAAGAUUUAAUUAUUAAAAAAUGGAUUAUUAUUUGCGCUGUUGCUUACUUUCCCAGGUGUAUUAUUUACCGACCAAAAGUAAUUUAUGUGCUCACCCGGUCAUAGAGUGAAGUUAGAUUGCCUGUGCAAUUUUUGCUGACUUUGCUGCCUUAGCUUACUUUAUCAAUUCUCUUUCCCCCCCUGCUUUUUUCAUUAGAGAUCGCAUAUAGUUUAAGAGCUGUAAUCUGAAACCUUACAGCUCUAGUGGAUACUUAAAAGACUCAUUGAUACACUUUGAAACCAAGUCAAUUGAACAGCAUUAGCAACAGCAGCAUCUAGCCAUUAGGCCAUUAGGAUCAUUUGCCGAGGCACUAAAAUUAAAUAUAGGGACUCUAGCAAUUCCCCAAUUAUAUUGUGUUUGUAUAAUGGCAGUGAAAAGGAUAUUAUUUUAGUCAGCUCAGUGCUACUAUUGCAAGAACCAAGAUGCUCUCCAUUUUGCAGACGUAGAUAUGUAUUGGCCAGGACACUGACAUUAAUUCCCUUUGCAGG